UCAGUCGACUCCUACGGGGAGGCAGCAGUGGGGAAUAUUGCACAAUCGGGGGGAAAACCCUGAUGCAGCCAUGCCGCGUGUGUGAAGAAGGCCUUCGGGUGUAAAGCACUUUCAGUAGGGAGGAAGGUAGUGUAGUUAACACCUGCACUAUUUGACGUUACCUACAGAAGAAGCACCGGCUAACUCCGUGCCAGCAGCCGCGGUAAUACGGAGGGUGCGAGCGUUAAUCGGAAUUACUGGGCGUAAAGCGCAUGCAGGCGGCCUGUUAAGUCAGAUGUGAAAGCCCCGGGCUUAACCUCGGAAUUGCAUUUGAAACUGGCAGGCUAGAGUCUUGUAGAGGGGGGUAGGAAUUUCAGGUGUAGCGGUGAAAUGCGUAGAGAUCUGAAGGAAUACCAGUGGCGAAGGCGGCCCCCUGGACAAAGACUGACGCUCAGAUGCGAAAGCGUGGGGAGCAAACAGGAUUAGAUACCCUGGUAG
Molecule: ribosomal RNA, 477 nt
Filed under: uncultured bacterium
Lineage: Bacteria
Description: bacterial SSU rRNA
Rfam family: Bacterial small subunit ribosomal RNA
Source: RNAcentral